This 1416-nucleotide ribosomal RNA is filed under the name Sphingobacteriaceae bacterium. RNAcentral describes it as "partial 23S ribosomal RNA". It matches the Rfam family "Bacterial large subunit ribosomal RNA", at positions 563 to 1964 of the family's 2925-position model. Lineage: Bacteria; Pseudomonadati; Bacteroidota; Sphingobacteriia; Sphingobacteriales; Sphingobacteriaceae. The record is from RNAcentral.
CAUAUAAGCAGUCAGAGCAAUACGAAAUUGUGAUGGCGUACCUUUUGUAUAAUGGGGCAGCAACUUAUUAUAGCAGGCAAGGUUUAGAUCUAGUAGAAUAGAAUUAAAACCUUAGCGAAAGCGACUAUAUAUUGACUAUAUGGAUUAAAUUCAUUUUUUAUUUAAAAGUCUGUUAUAAUAGACCCGAAACAAUGUGAUCUUACCAUGGCCAGGUUAUAAUGGACCGAACAAGUGAACGUUGCAUAGUUCUUUGAUGAGCUGUGGUAAGGCGUGAAAUGCGAAUCUAACAUUGUGAUAUCUGGCAUUCCGCGAAAUAUAUUUUAGUAUAGUGUCUGCAUCUUUUUUAUAAUGAAAAUAGGAAUCUUAACCGGUAUAGCACUGAUUUGCAUACUAAUGGUAGUAGUAAUAUACUAUCUAGGUAAAAUGGGGGACUGUGAAAAGUCUACCUUUGUAAGUUAACCUCAGAACAGUUAUGAUUCACGUAGGCAAGCAGUCUAUUCAUGAUAAGGUGGAUAGACAAAAGGGAAACAGCCCAGAGUGUAUAUUAAGGUUCCAAAACAGAAGUUAAGUGAAAAUAAGGCAGUUUGUACCCUAUAACAGCUAUGAAAUGUGCCCGGUAACAGCAAUUUUAUAAUGAGUACGUAACAGUACAGUAGUCUAAUCGCAUUAUUCAAUUAAUGCUUAGGGGACUUGCGCCGAAGAUAUACGGAUCUACACUUUAUACCUAUAUUACACUUUAGAUUAUAAGAAACUUAUGAUCUAACAGGUAGCGGAACAUUCAGUACAAAAGAAAAAUAGUGUUUCAUUAUUUGGAUGUAACUGAAGCGACAAUGCUGUCAUGAGUAACGAAAAGGAGAUUGAAUACUCCUCACCGAAUGCGUAAGGGUUUCUAUAACGUAAAAGUAAAACAAUCUCGUUUUGCUCGGAAAAGUUCAACUUCCUAGAAUGAACGCGGUCUCUAAGGUUUAUGUGCUAAUGCCAUAGCUGAUGAGGGUAUCUGUAGAACAGAGUUUUUAGUAAUUUAAAAAUUCUCAAGAAAAUAAUAUAGAUCGUGAUAGAAUGAGCGAAGCUCAUUCGGCCGUAUUUAUGCUCCGCAUAAAUACUAUACCGUACCCUAAACCGACACAGGUACGCAGGUAGAGAAUACUAAGGUGAAGAGCUAAUGUGUGUGAAGGAACUCGGCAAACUGCACCCGUAACUUAGAGGAUAAGGGUGACCGAUCAAGUAAAAAAGGUCGGUGUCACAGAAUCGGGGGGUGCGACUGUUUACCAAAAACACAGAGAUUUGCUAAUACUAAUGUAGUUGUAUAAGUCUUGAAUUCUGCUCAGUGCUACUGAAUAAGGUGGGUAAUUAAAGUUACUUAUUGAACAGGUAGUAAACAGCGGUCUUAACUAUAAGGAUCCUCAGGUAGCCAAA